GAGACGGGGUUUCACCAUUUUGGCCAGGCUGGCGUCCACCUCCUGACCUCAAGUUAUCCACCUGCCUCGGCCUUCCAAAGUACUGAGAUUACAGGUGUGAGCCACCGUGCCCAGCCCAAUUUCUCUUAUUUCUUAUCAAAAUAGGAUUGGAAGUUAUUACUACAUUGGAAAAUUCUCACCAUAUGAAUUCAUUACAAAUAUAUUUAUAUAUUAAAUUUUAUAUAAUGUAUUUCAUGCUUACUGUUUUUAUAUUUCAUAGUUAUAUUAAUCAGCAUAAUCUGAUUUUGUAGUCAUUUUAUUCUAAGUUAAAAAUGGCUCCUUCUGCUAUUAUUAAAGAAAAAUAACUAAACCAAGUAGACAAAAAUGAAAAUUACAGAGAAACUUGUUUCUCAUAGAAGAAAGCCUCUGUCUCAAACAGAGAGGGGUAGUCUUAUUACACUUGUCCCAUAAUCCUCACCUAUGACCUUGAGCUCUUAUAACAUAUUAUUUGGAAACAGAAUGACUACGCAAAAGUAUAUUAUGAAAUACACUUCUCCGUGAAAUACCAAGGAUGGCAAAAAAUGAAGAUCAUCAAGGACUAAUCCACUGACUGAUUAAGGAAUACACUAUUGCUCAUUGAGAUUACCUUGAGACAAUUAAUUAUUUCCUAUUUGUAGGCAGAAAUAUCUUUGGGUUGUUACUGACAAGCUCAUUUGGAAUACAAAGAAAACCAAGUAUGGUGUCAGUUUAUGUAAAAUGAAUGUACCGUAUAAAAUAUGGAAGACCUAAGCUCAAUGUAUAACAUAUCUAGCUUUAUCUGUGCUCACCCUAUUAAUUUCAUGUACCUCUGUCAACUUUAAAGGUGAUUUAUAUGGCCUUAUACAAAUAGCCAUAUGAGAAAUAGGUCUAAAUAGUGUUUAUUUCCUCUGUUUGCUGCAUUCUUGUCCUCAAAUGUUUUUAUAGUUUGCUAUGUCUGCUUUGAAAAUUUGCAAAAUUCCAUGUCAUGGGUGUUGAAAGUGUAUUGCUACACUGCGUUUACAUAGUUCAGCAUUCUGUUAAUAUGUAUUUCUAAGGCUUUUAAUAUAGCAAAUUGUUUGUACACUUUCAAUUGAUGUGAUACAUUAGAUUUUUAAAAAAUCAAUCUAAGUUUUAGCAUUAUGUUUAUUAAAUUUCCCAUUGUAGCCACUCACCUUCGCAACUUAUAUGUUUACAAAACUAUUAGUAUGAAAUGAUAAACCUCAUUGUUAAAUUAUCUUUAAAGAGAUAAUUAUGUCUAUUUUUAAAAAUGUAAUAAAAAUUCCGAGCAACGUGAGAAAGUGGAAAAUUGGGAUCUCAGGAUCAUCUGGAAUAGAACUGUGGGUAGUUUAUCUUCUCAGCUGUCUCCUAGCAUUAUCCUUAAUCUGCUUCCCAGGCGUCUGAGCUCCUCCAUGUAAGACUGAAAAUGUAUUUCAACAUCUAACUUGUAUUAUUACUUUCUCAGUUUGUUACCUGCAUUCAUGAUAAUGGUUGAAGUUUUGAGUCUCUGGUCAGUAAGAUCAUUGAAUUUUUAGUUACACUAUGACAUAAUGAUUAUUCUCCCCAUUUUACAGCUCAUGGAACUAAGGAUCCAAAACGCUAAGUUGUUCAUCUCAGGUUACAGUGCUUAUGAAUGAGUAGCAUAAUCCAAAAGGAGCAAGAGUCAGGCAUUUGAAUUCUAGACCUGGUUGUUCUCCAAUAGAGUCUACAUUAGGGCUUUGGAAAGUCAUUCAUUCUCCCUGUGAUUUUUCUCAAAUAUCUGUGAAAUGAACUUCUAGACUCCAGAUCUGUUAAUGGUUUCUUCAAGCCCUAAAAUAUUAGGAAGACUCUUACAUAAAUAGUAUGAAUAAUGAAACAUUCAACCAUCUGAAAAUGAAGUUAUUCAAGAUGGGAUAGAAGAAAGGAGCAUUGUGUACUUAUCAAAGCCCUUUAUUUUUAUGUUGCAUAUUUUUACUUGUUCUCUCAGUUUCAUGUAACAUUAUAUAUUUUAAUGAAGAUUACGUAUUAAAUAAGUUGUACUUAUUAAAAAUGUUACUAAGCAUGAGUUUUAAAUGACUACAUGAAACUUAGAAUUUUAAAACUCUGAAACACUUUUAUGUCAGAUCAUUAGUAAUGAUUCUGGUGUCAGGAAAUGUGGUGUCUAUAACUAGCCAUGUGUAAUGCUGCACCUGUGUCAAGAUGAAAGUAAAUGGAUACGUAAGCUUCUGUAGAGUCUCAUGCUGAGUUUGUUCAGCCUGUUUCUGUAAAUAUAUCUGUCUCUUACAUCUGUUUUCUUCAAAUACGAAAAUCCACAGCUAAGUGUCUCGGAAACAAAAUAGAAUGAUGAACAGAAUACUCAGAGAGCAGGGACCAUAGUCUCUAAAUACUGUGACAUUCUUCUAACAUGGGAACUGUACAUACUUCACUCAUUUUUCUUCAGAAAACAAAAGGGAAAAUAUUUUAAAAGUGCAGAAUAACAACCUAAAUACCAUACUGUAUUAGAUGCAUGGGUUAUUAUUCUGCCUUCAAAUCCUUCAAUUUUAGUGAAAUAUAGUGUUCUUAUGCAAUGUGAUCUGUGAAGUAAGGAUUGUAAAGGAAGAAAGCAACAGUAAAUACAUAUAUGUGCGUCUGUGUGUGCAUAUGUAUAUAGUAAAAAUAAAUAUAAAAUUAAAAUAUUAUGUAUAGAUGUGUUUGUGUUUGUAUGCUUAUAUGUAAUAUCUUGCAUGUAUUUACUAUCUUACUAUUUUUAUCACAUAUAAAAAGAAAUUUCUUAUUCCUGCUUGCAAGGGCAAUCGAAAUCUAACAUAGAAACUAGUGGACAUUCACGAUCAAAUCUAUAUAAUGAUGAUAAGUUGUCUAACAUUUCUAACAUCUUUGUGCCUGUUUCUUCAUUUAUAAAGUGAGGGUAACAACAGCACUUCCAUAUAGAUAGGGUCAUUUUGCAGGUUAAAUGGUUAAUGUAUGUAAAGCAGUACCAGGCAUUUAGUAAGCUCUAAAUAAAUAUUAAAUGUAAUUCUCAAGAUAUCAUCAUCAUCAUCAUCAUCAUGAAUUACCAUUUAAUUCUGAAGGUAAGAAAUACUCUUUUAAAUAUGUAUGUUAAGUAACUUGGCACGUUGACCUUGUCAGCACUGUUUAUAUUUUAUUCACUGAUGGUCAGGUUUACAUCUAGGAGACAGAAGAAGUUAAAUUGUUUUAUAAUGUAUGCUACUCUGUGUUGAAAGUCCUGUGAGAGUCACUGAAACAGAUGGGCAAAACUUGUUUUCUGUGUAAAUCUACAAGAAUUGUUCCUGGAGAGUUGAGAAAGGUUAGUUAAUUCACGCAGAAACCUAAGAUGUACAUAUGCAGAACAAAUUAGUACAGUGGUCUGCCAAACAUGUUUUUGUUUUCCUGCCUCAAGAUAGAGAAUUCUAUGUGACAUUAAUGUAUGUUCAUCUCACUGU
Molecule: long non-coding RNA, 3413 nt
Filed under: Homo sapiens (human)
Lineage: Eukaryota; Metazoa; Chordata; Mammalia; Primates; Hominidae
Description: non-protein coding lnc-SMC2-5:1
Source: RNAcentral